Molecule: ribosomal RNA, 603 nt
Filed under: Vibrio chagasii
Lineage: Bacteria; Pseudomonadati; Pseudomonadota; Gammaproteobacteria; Vibrionales; Vibrionaceae
Description: bacterial SSU rRNA
Rfam family: Bacterial small subunit ribosomal RNA
Source: RNAcentral
AAAUUGAAGAGUUUGAUCAUGGCUCAGAUUGAACGCUGGCGGCAGGCCUAACACAUGCAAGUCGAGCGGAAACGAGUUAUCUGAACCUUCGGGGAACGGUAACGGCGUCGAGCGGCGGACGGGUGAGUAAUGCCUAGGAAAUUGCCUUGAUGUGGGGGAUAACCAUUGGAAACGAUGGCUAAUACCGCAUAACGCCUACGGGCCAAAGAGGGGGACCUUCGGGCCUCUCGCGUCAAGAUAUGCCUAGGUGGGAUUAGCUAGUUGGUGAGGUAAUGGCUCACCAAGGCGACGAUCCCUAGCUGGUCUGAGAGGAUGAUCAGCCACACUGGAACUGAGACACGGUCCAGACUCCUACGGGAGGCAGCAGUGGGGAAUAUUGCACAAUGGGCGAAAGCCUGAUGCAGCCAUGCCGCGUGUAUGAAGAAGGCCUUCGGGUUGUAAAGUACUUUCAGUUGUGAGGAAGGGGGUGUCGUUAAUAGCGGCAUCUCUUGACGUUAGCAACAGAAGAAGCACCGGCUAACUCCGUGCCAGCAGCCGCGGUAAUACGGAGGGUGCGAGCGUUAAUCGGAAUUACUGGGCGUAAAGCGCAUGCAGGUGGUUCAU